UGGGGAAUUUUGGACAAUGGGCGAAAGCCUGAUCCAGCAAUGCCGCGUGUGUGAAGAAGGCCUUCGGGUUGUAAAGCACUUUUGUCCGGGAAAGAAAUCCUUGGCUCAAUACAGUCGGGGGAUGACGGUACCGGAAGAAUAAGCACCGGCUAACUACGUGCCAGCAGCCGCGGUAAUACGUAGGGUGCAAGCGUUAAUCGGAAUUACUGGGCGUAAAGCGUGCGCAGGCGGUUUGCUAAGACCGAUGUGAAAUCCCCGGGCUCAACCUGGGAACUGCAUUGGUGACUGGCAGGCUAGAGUAUGGCAGAGGGGGGUUAGAAUUCCACGUGUAGCAGUGAAAUGCGUAGAGAUGUGGAGGAAUACCGAUGGCGAAGGCAGCCCCCCUGGGCCAAUACUGACGCUCAUGCACGAAAGCG
Molecule: ribosomal RNA, 416 nt
Filed under: uncultured bacterium
Lineage: Bacteria
Description: partial 16S ribosomal RNA
Rfam family: Bacterial small subunit ribosomal RNA
Source: RNAcentral